This is a non-coding RNA of Lactuca sativa (garden lettuce), 3202 nucleotides long. The record is from RefSeq and is a predicted model, not a curated record. NCBI's taxonomy places the organism in Eukaryota, Viridiplantae, Streptophyta, Magnoliopsida, Asterales, Asteraceae.
GGUAGGGGGAUCUUAUUCUUAAGGUCCAUUUUAUUGUCUGUAGUAUCUAAUUUUCUUUUCUUUCUCAGGUCCUGAUAAUAAGCAUAUCCAUAGAGGGGAAAAGAAAAAUAAGGAAUGAUAAUAAGUAUUGUCAUUUGUUGUUGCAGGUGGUGUAACCCCAAUUCAAGCUACUGGGGCCAUUUCACCUACACCAAAUAUGCAUGUUUGUUCUAUAUCAGUGGUGUCCAAUUGUCUUUUCUCUUUACUGCAUCUAAACUAUUAGGAGUAAUUAAUUUUCUGGUUCUUUUGAGGAGUAAUUUUGUGAUCCUGCUUUCAUGUAUACCUCAACCCUAAUCCAGAGAAGCAUCGGCUCUUUUUUUUAUUAACAAUUGGAAAUAAGAAAUGCAGACGUCCCUCAUUUAUUCUAUUCCAGCUAAUUAAUCUAUUUAGUCCUCAAUAGAAAACACAGGUCCUUUUUUUGGAACGAAACCUUUUAUAAAACAAAAGAAAAGCUGCAAGUAGGUUGAGAGAGACUUGCCUAAAAAGGGCUGAUUCAAUACCAGAAAUAUAAUGACAUGGGCAGAUUUACUCCCCUGCACCUUGUGCACCAAGGCAAAGAAACAGAAGAACAGGAAAGAAAGAUGAGAGGGAUGAACAGGGGACAAGAAACUGGAAACAGAGGAUAAUAUACUUGGAGCCUAAGUAUUAAUUGCUGGAAAAAACUUGGUUCUUAAUUAAAUACAAAGAAAUGUCAUACCUUAUUCAUACUAAGUCUAAAAGAUUCCUACUCAUACACAAAAACUGGAAGAAAAACUAUUAAAUAAAAAAACUUCCGAAAAUACCCUGGAUCUUAUUUUCUGAAUUAACCCAACAGUUAAUACAAACGCUCAUGAACUGCAGGUUCAUCAAUGUUCGAUGUUAAGGAGCAAUAAUUAAUCUCAUUAAUUUACCUAUUAAAAUUUGGAAACGGAAAAUAUUUUAGAAUUAACUGUGUACCUUUAGAAAAUUAGUUUAUACUCGAAGAGUCUUUUAAUUACGGGGAUGAUAAAUUAAACUAUACCAGUUUAGAAAGUAAUCUCCUGAGGGUAAUUGAAAAGCGGACAGAUCACCACCAAUAAUAUGUUUCCACGACUUGUAAUAACUCAAAGGAUCUUCUUCAUUAUUGUCCUUUUCAGUAUUAUACACUGGACUGAUUGCACACUCUCUUACCAUUACUCCCACAUAUUCUAAUAUUGUAACACAAAUUUCAUCACCAAUUUUAAUCUCAUUGUCCUCAAACAUCCAAUGACUUAACCAUACUAUAUCUUCAUCAGUUUCUCCGACAGCAUACAUUUGACCAUAAUACGUCCAGACGAUGGCAUGGCUAUUGAUAUUGAUAUUGAUGAACCCUUGUUUUUAUGAGGCAACCAAUCUGGAACUGCUUUCCCAGGAAAACAUGUGGUAAAUAUUUCAAAUUCAUAAACCAUCUGCAAUUAAAACAUUAGAUUGUAUGAAUUUUACGCAUAUUAGUGUGUGUGUGUGUUUGUGAGAUCCAUAGAAACAGAGAAGAAGAAAGAGUACCUGAACUGGGAGUUUCUUUGCACCCCGAAACCAUCUGUAUAAAUCCCAUAUCCGCAUCUUCUGAUCUUUCACAUGUUGUAAAUUUGUCCAGCCCAAGCUACAUAAUAUCUUCUCAUCAAUUUGUGCUAUAGCUUCAAUUUUUAUUAUGCCUUCAAUUUCGGCCAAUGACUCCGAAUAAUUGUAAUACACUUGUAGUGGGGCUGACAUUUCUUGAGGGAAUGUUAUUUUAAUAAGUGACAAACACUUUCCGGUAGACAAAGAUUUAAUUGUAGGUGGAGGGCACAAUACCGACUUCAACAUCCAACAUUCUCCAACAUCAAGUAACUCAAGUCUGCUAAGGCUUCUCACACAAUCAGGCAGGGAAUCAUAGAUGCAACUGAAGUCAUUUGGAAAGGAUUCAUUAGAUAAAUUAUUGCCCUUAAGCAACAAGGUUACUAGUGAAGGUAGCAAAAAUGAUUUUCCACUUUUUGGUAAAAAUUCUCCAACAGAAGAGGAAGAUGCAUAUGACUCGAUAUCCUUCAUCCACAUUAGAAAUCCACUAGCACCUAAGCAACCUUCUAAUGAUAUACUUCUAACAUUCUUUAACUUGCUGAUGCUAAUUGGAACAUUACUAAGCUUACUGCAUUUGCUAAUGUCAAGAAUAACAAGGCUAUCACAUCCACCAAUUGACUCACACACAUGAACUAAGCUUUUACAGCUUCUAAGAAUCAACCUCUCAAGUGCAGGUAGCGCAGAGAAGCCUUCAACUCUAACAAGAUUGCAAUAACUCAGAUUAAGAAUCUUCAAUGACCUAAGAAGCUGUUGCAUUGGAUAUCCUCUCAUCAAGAAUAUUAUAACCAAGAUAUUAACAGUCUAAAAAUUGAAGUAAAAGCUUUAGUUUCAUACCUUCGGCUUCUUCCAAAGCUGUGUCAGAUUACUGUAAGACAUGUCAAGAGAAACCAAUUUUUUCAUUGGAUCCGUCCAUUUUUACAUUAUUGAGUUGGAGCCGCUUAUCCAUCUUUCUUAAUGCAUCUGUUCUCAAUUCGACUUUUUUGCAAUGAGAAGACGAAAGCAUUAGUAGAAGCCGAGCAAAAAACGACAAAAUUCUUAAAAAGAACUCAUAGACAAUCUGGAUUGGUUGAGCAGCUCUAAAACUCGUGUUCACAUCAUCAUUUUGGAAGCUAUGCUCUGUCACACUACUUGAUCUAGACAAUAGCUCCUUUGUCAAUAGAGUCAUGUCAAGGAUAAGACCUUGAAUUCUUUGGGUACCCUAUCAAAAAGAAAAUUACAACAAGCAUUCAUUGUUAUAUAGAUGAUAAAGCUAACUAAUACUCAUGGUGACUAUGUUGUAUUAGUGUAUUACCUUGUCACUUUUUAACAAAUCGAGAGACUCCUCAUGUUUCCAUACACGACUACACUUCCAUGGCUUAUUGUUAUGACCCGGGAUCUAGACCUCGUGACAGGACCAGUGCUAGUGCCUGAAAAAGCCGUGAACUCCCCUGUAACCUAGCCUCCUGUUUGCAGGAGACUAAACUAAGCUAUUAACACAAUAUUACUCUAUUAAUUGUUUUCAAAUUCCAGCAUAUCUUAUUUCAUGAAUGACUACCCUUUAAAUAGGGAUAAACAAAAGACUCAAAUCAGGAAACAAAGACUUCUAAAAUCGACUCAAAUAAUAAAAGAUCCU